UGUAAAAUAAGCUAAAUUUAAGCUAUUGGGUUCAUACCCCAAAAAUGAAUUGGAAAUUCUUUUACA
RNAcentral lists this transfer RNA (66 nucleotides) under Fusiturris similis. RNAcentral's name for it is "tRNA-Met". The record is from RNAcentral. Lineage: Eukaryota; Metazoa; Mollusca; Gastropoda; Neogastropoda; Turridae.